Molecule: transfer RNA, 73 nt
Filed under: Marmota monax (woodchuck)
Lineage: Eukaryota; Metazoa; Chordata; Mammalia; Rodentia; Sciuridae
Description: tRNA.Ala
Rfam family: tRNA
About the family: Transfer RNA (tRNA) molecules are approximately 80 nucleotides in length. Their secondary structure includes four short double-helical elements and three loops (D, anti-codon, and T loops).
Source: RNAcentral
UGGGGUUGUGGCUCAGUGGCAGAGCAUUUGCCUUGCAUGUAUGAGGCACUGGGUUCCAUCCUCAGCACCACAA